Molecule: long non-coding RNA, 201 nt
Filed under: Brassica rapa (field mustard)
Lineage: Eukaryota; Viridiplantae; Streptophyta; Magnoliopsida; Brassicales; Brassicaceae
Description: long non-coding RNA (BRAP_LNC000643)
Source: RNAcentral
GAAACCUCUUGAUGCAGCAUCAUCAUCAUCAUCAUUAGCGCCAACAUGAGGCAUUUGAAUCAUAACUCCUUUAGCUUAUAUGUUUUGGGUUUUGGCUUUAUUUUCUUUUUCAUAAACUUCCUUUUUACGUAAUUUUUAUGUUUCCCUUUUCUAUUAGGGUUUGUCUAAUAGAAGAGCUAUAUAAAUGCAACUAAAGCUGAG